RNAcentral lists this long non-coding RNA (366 nucleotides) under Monodelphis domestica (gray short-tailed opossum). RNAcentral describes it as "lncRNA (ENSMODG00000039540.1)". Lineage: Eukaryota; Metazoa; Chordata; Mammalia; Didelphimorphia; Didelphidae. The record is from RNAcentral.
AUGAGUCAAAGAUUAGGAAGAAGAGCAUUACCAGAGAUUCAAAUUGUAAAAUUGAAAAUCUGUUACCCUAAAAAAAGAACUACAUUUCCCAGGAGCCCACUGACUUCCUGUCAUUACAUACUUCCUGUAGACAGAGAAUAUAAUAGGAGGACAGGGAGAGUACUGCCUCUUCUUGGGCUUACAGCCAGUGGUGAUGGUGACAUUUCAUCAAUAGUUGAUAUUGCUUUCUCUCCUGGUACACUUGCAUCAAUGAGAAGGUAACCUUUUCUCCAAUCAUGAGAGAGAGAGGUGAAAAAGGAGCAAUCAAUGAAGCAGGUACCAAAUGUUGGAAAUAAAAAGAGAGAAAUUGACUGACUGCCUUCUGGA